CCUACGGGGGGCAGCAGUGAGGAAUAUUGGUCAAUGGACGAGAGUCUGAACCAGCCAAGUAGCGUGAAGGAUGACUGCCCUAUGGGUUGUAAAAUUCUUUUAUAUGGGAAUAAAAUGUUCCACGUGUGGGAUUUUGUAUGUACCAUAUGAAUAAGGAUCGGCUAACUCCGUGCCAGCAGCCGCGGUAAUACGGAGGAUCCGAGCUUUAUCCGGAUUUAUUGGGUUUAAAGGGAGCGUAGGUGGAUUGUUAAGUCAGUUGUGAAAGUUUGCGGCUCAACCGUAAAAUUGCAGUUGAAACUGGCAGUCUGGAGUACAGAAGCGGUGGGCGGAAUGCGUGGUGUAGCGGUGAAAUGCUUAGAUAUCACGAAGAACUCCGAUUGCGAAGGCAGCUCACUGGACUGCAACUGACACUGAGGCUCGAAAGUGUGGGUAUCAAACAGGAUUAGAUACCCUUGUAGUC
RNAcentral lists this ribosomal RNA (460 nucleotides) under uncultured bacterium. RNAcentral's name for it is "partial 16S ribosomal RNA". It matches the Rfam family "Bacterial small subunit ribosomal RNA", at positions 338 to 795 of the family's 1533-position model. The record is from RNAcentral.